CGAACGUGGGGGAACCCUGCCCCAUAGUCUGGGAUACCACUUGGAAACAGGUGCUAAUACCGGAUAAGAAAGCAGAUCGCAUGAUCAGCUUUUAAAAGGCGGCGUAAGCUGUCGCUAUGGGAUGGCCCCGCGGUGCAUUAGCUAGUUGGUAAGGUAAAGGCUUACCAAGGCGAUGAUGCAUAGCCGAGUUGAGAGACUGAUCGGCCACAUUGGGACUGAGACACGGCCCAAACUCCUACGGGAGGCAGCAAGUC
RNAcentral lists this ribosomal RNA (254 nucleotides) under uncultured Lactobacillus sp. RNAcentral describes it as "partial 16S ribosomal RNA". It matches the Rfam family "Bacterial small subunit ribosomal RNA", at positions 111 to 353 of the family's 1533-position model. Lineage: Bacteria; Bacillati; Bacillota; Bacilli; Lactobacillales; Lactobacillaceae. The record is from RNAcentral.